Molecule: long non-coding RNA, 1119 nt
Filed under: Carassius auratus (goldfish)
Lineage: Eukaryota; Metazoa; Chordata; Actinopteri; Cypriniformes; Cyprinidae
Description: lncRNA (ENSCARG00000038770.1)
Source: RNAcentral
GAUUUACAAUCUUGUUUUGACCUCACUGAUUGGAGUGUUUUUGAAGCUGCUACCACCGAUCUGGACGAACUCACAGAGGCCGUAACAUCCUAUAUUAGUUUCUGUGAGGAUAUAUGCAUUCCUACCAGAACUUAUUUAACAUUCAACAAUGAUAAGCCAUGGUUUACAGUAAAACUCAGACAUCUUCGUCAGGCCAAAGAGGAUGCCUACAGAAAUGGGGACAGGUUCUUGUACAAUCAGGCCAGGAACACACUGAACAAACAGAUCAAAGCGGCUAAAAAGACCUACGCUAAAAAGUUGGAAGACCAGUUUACUUCCAACGACUCAACUUCAGUGUGGAGAGGUCUAAGAGCCAUCACGAACUACAAGACACCAUCCCCUUGCACUGAGGCUAAUCAACGACUUGCUAACGACCUGAAUGAGUUUUAUUGCAGAUUUGAAACCCCCAUCACCCAUUCUGACCAUCUCCCUACAAAACCAUUAACACAUCCUGCAAUCCCACCCUCCACACCUCCUGCUCUUCAAAUCUGUGAAGAUGAUGUGCGCCAGGUCUUCAAGAAGAACAAAAGAAGAAAAGCACCAGGCCCAGAUGGUGUUACACCAGCCUGUCUGAAAAUCUGUGCUGACCAGCUGGCCCCCAUCUUUUCACAGAUCUUCAACAGAUCCCUGGAGUUGUGUGAAGUGCCUUCCUGCUUCAAACGCUCCACCAUCAUCCCCAUCCCAAAGAAACCCAAGAUAGCAGAACUUAACGACUACAGACCUGUGGCUCUAACGUCUGUCGUCAUGAAGUCGUUUGAAAAACUGGUUCUGGCUUAUCUGAAGGACAUCACUGGACCCUUACUGGACCCCCUCCAGUUUGCUUACCGAGCAAACAGGUCCGUGGAUGAUGCAAUCAACAUGGGAUUGCACUUCAUCCUUCAAAAUCUGGACAAAACAGGGACUUAUGUGAGGAUCCUAUUUGUGGACUUUAGUUCGGCAUUCAACACCAUCAUCCCAACAGCCCUUCAGACCAAACUGACCCAGCUCUCUGUUCCUAGCUCUAUCUGUCAGUGGAUCACCAGCUUUCUGACAGAUAGGCAACAGUUAGUGAGACUGGGGAAAUAUACAUCAAACAGCUGA